GGUCUCGUAGCGGAGUGGUUACCGUUGUGUUCUUAUAAUGCAUAGGUCGUGAGUUCGAACCUCACCGAGACCA
RNAcentral lists this transfer RNA (73 nucleotides) under Stachybotrys chartarum IBT 7711. RNAcentral describes it as "tRNA-Ile (TAT) (tRNA-Ile-TAT-1-1)". It matches the Rfam family "tRNA". From Rfam's summary of the family: Transfer RNA (tRNA) molecules are approximately 80 nucleotides in length. Their secondary structure includes four short double-helical elements and three loops (D, anti-codon, and T loops). Further hydrogen bonds mediate the characteristic L-shaped molecular structure. tRNAs have two regions of fundamental functional importance: the anti-codon, which is responsible for specific mRNA codon recognition, and the 3' end, to which the tRNAs corresponding amino acid is attached (by aminoacyl-tRNA synthetases). tRNAs cope with the degeneracy of the genetic code in two manners: having more than one tRNA (with a specific anti-codon) for a particular amino acid; and 'wobble' base-pairing, i.e. permitting non-standard base-pairing at the 3rd anti-codon position. Lineage: Eukaryota; Fungi; Ascomycota; Sordariomycetes; Hypocreales; Stachybotryaceae. The record is from RNAcentral. RNAcentral also lists the same sequence under 3 other names.